Molecule: ribosomal RNA, 253 nt
Filed under: uncultured bacterium
Lineage: Bacteria
Description: partial 16S ribosomal RNA
Rfam family: Bacterial small subunit ribosomal RNA
Source: RNAcentral
UACGGGGGGAGCAAGCGUUGUUCGGAUUUACUGGGCGUAAAGGGCGCGUAGGCGGCGCGGUAAGUCGGGUGUGAAAUCUUGGAGCUUAACUCCGAAACUGCAUUCGAUACUGCCGUGCUUGAGGACUGGAGAGGAGACUGGAAUUUACGGUGUAGCGGUGAAAUGCGUAGAUAUCGUAAGGAAGACCAGUGGCGAAGGCGGGUCUCUGGACAGUUCCUGACGCUGAGGCACGAAGGCCAGGGGAGCAAACGGG